Molecule: long non-coding RNA, 381 nt
Organism: Capra hircus (goat)
Lineage: Eukaryota; Metazoa; Chordata; Mammalia; Artiodactyla; Bovidae
Exons: 2
Source: RefSeq, a predicted model, not a curated record
CCCGACUGCUGUACUCCUAUAUCUGAUCUGCUAAAGAAAGCACAGAAAAUGACACUUCGAGGUGAUCCUUGUGUUGGGAAGGCACAGCUCCCCGAGUUUUGGUUGAGAUGAGCAGGUCCUGAGGCUGAGCUCACACUACUGCAAGGAGGAGGGAGAGACCACUAGCAUGGCUGUGAGGGAGAAGCCAGCUGCCCCUGGGAAGCAGUGACACUAUGGAGCCAUUCUCUAGGCAGCGGAGUCCAGCUGACAGUGAUGCCAGCUGGGACUGUGGAAGCAGUGCUGGGGAUGUGAAUGGCGGAGCCACACAUUUAGAGGUCAUCUGUGAAGUCCCUCCACAGUGCACAGUUUUCUGUAAAUGUUCAAAUACACUUCCUUUCAAUC